GCUGUAAAAAUACCUAUAUAGCCAGAUGAGAUAAUUCUGUUCUAGAUCCCAUUUUAAUUAUGUUAAUUUCACGGAAUCGUGUUUCUCUAACAAACAUUUUAUGUAUUUUGAAUCUGUAUGUGAACAAGGUCACCGCGGAUUAUUGUGAAUUCGGAACUUGUAAUGAAGAUCAAUACUGUUGUGGAGAAAACAAGUGCUGUCAAAAAACAGUUGAGGUUUGGUAUUUUUGGGCAAAAGUCUUCCUUUUGAUGGUCAUCACUGUCUUCAUCAUUCUGUAUAUACUCCUUAGAGUGAAGCACCUAUGGAAAUAUAAUUCAUACAAAAAACUCUCUGUUGAAGAAAUGACCACACCAGUUUCUUAGAUAAGAAAGUUUCUGAGUUCAAAUUAUCUACAUCGACAUCUUUUGAAUCUUAGACAAUAUUGUAUUGUGCUUUCAUUAAUCUACACACUUCAUAUUCUAAAAUGGAAUAUCUGAUUUUCAGGAAUUAGUUAUAUGCCAACCAACUGGGAAACCUUUUCCUACAAUGAUGCUCUAGUCUAGACUAUUAGCACAUUUCAUGUCAAUGACCAAAACCACUUGCUAAAAAUUUGGUUUUUUCAUUCAUGUUAAUUUUACAGAUGAAAAUGUUUGUAAAUAAAAUAGUUUCAAUGUACUGUUGGAUAUACUUUCUCAUGUGUGAAUAUGUACUUACAUAAUUAUAGUUAUAAAUGAAUGAAUAAAGUUAUUUUUGUGCA
RNAcentral lists this long non-coding RNA (736 nucleotides) under Leptinotarsa decemlineata (Colorado potato beetle). RNAcentral describes it as "uncharacterized LOC111517892, transcript variant X1". The record is from RNAcentral. Lineage: Eukaryota; Metazoa; Arthropoda; Insecta; Coleoptera; Chrysomelidae.